Molecule: small RNA, 24 nt
Filed under: Bombyx mori (domestic silkworm)
Lineage: Eukaryota; Metazoa; Arthropoda; Insecta; Lepidoptera; Bombycidae
Description: ovarian small RNA-37241
Source: RNAcentral
UUCCGUACCGCGAUGAGGAUGAGG